GACGAACGCUGGCGGCGUGCUUAACACAUGCAAGUCGAACGGAAAGGCCCUGCUUUUGUGGGGUGCUCGAGUGGCGAACGGGUGAGUAACACGUGAGUAACCUGCCCUUGACUUUGGGAUAACUUCAGGAAACUGGGGCUAAUACCGGAUAGGAGCUCCUGCUGCAUGGGGGGGGUUGGAAAGUUUCGGCGGUUGGGGAUGGACUCGCGGCUUAUCAGCUUGUUGGUGGGGUAGUGGCUUACCAAGGCUUUGACGGGUAGCCGGCCUGAGAGGGUGACCGGCCACAUUGGGACUGAGAUACAGCCCAGACUCCUACGGGAGGCAGCAGUGGGGAAUAUUGCACAAUGGGCGGAAGCCUGAUGCAGCAACGCCGCGUGCGGGAUGACGGCCUUCGGGUUGUAAACCGCUUUCGCCUGUGACGAAGCGUGAGUGACGGUAAUGGGUAAGGAAGCACCGGCUAACUACGUG
RNAcentral lists this ribosomal RNA (468 nucleotides) under uncultured bacterium. Its description in RNAcentral is "partial 16S ribosomal RNA". It matches the Rfam family "Bacterial small subunit ribosomal RNA", at positions 28 to 507 of the family's 1533-position model. The record is from RNAcentral.